UAGUGUUAUUAAAUCUACGAAUCAUACGAAAAUAAAUAAAUACAAAGAAGAACAAAAAAUUAAAGAUGACAAGCACAUAGCAUUCAAUACGAACGAAGAAGAUUUAUCCAUAUCAAUAAUCAUUAACUGAAUUCACACUUUGAAGCUAUCUGAAUCAUUCAUAUCCAGAAAAUAGGUAGAUUUGCAAAUUAAUUACCAAGAAGAUACUAAAGUAAGAAACGAUUAAUCAAAAUUUAUAUGGAAUCUAAUACUAUGAAGAAUGAGUGUUUUACUAUACCGAGUGGUGAAUCGCAAACGGAGGCAGAUUCGAGGACGAGAAACGCGAACCUGACGAAGAUAAAAGGGAGGACGAUAGCGAGCAGCAGCAGCAACAGUAACAACGUGCGACUAGAGAAUCUCCGCGCUGCUAACGCCGCCGCUGCAGCCGCACAUCCUCCGCUUCCUUUACCGAUUCCGACGCCGGGAUUUGAUAUCAUCUCUGAUCUCCACUAUCAGUUCAUCAAAAACAACAACCAAAACCAACAGGGAUCGAGAAGAAGAAGAAGCUCAAUGACGAAGAUGUGAUCAAAAGCAAAACGCGAAUCCAGUAGGUCGAGAGGGACUGUUUGGUUUUUGAUCUGUACGACGGGAAUAAAAAACAACAUUCAAAGAGGAAUGAAUUUUUCUAAAGAAGCCAAGCGGACAUAUGCUUACCAAAAUAAAUGCAUUUUUGUAAAAGAUAAUAUUUCACCAAUAUUAUUCCUAUCAUAAUAGUCACGAGUUUGUGAAAAUAAUUAGUAUUCUUUUAAAAAAGCCAAAACCAAUGCCGCGUUCAUCUCCGCGGGAAUUUAGCACAUAGUCUAUAAAUGUUUUGUGUAUGUAUGUAUAGAUGUAUAAAUUAAUCAUGUGUAGUUAAUAGGGUAAAACGAAUUAUGGAAAACUUUACGAUAACUAAAAUAAAUAUUUUACUGGUAAAUGGAAAGAG
Long non-coding RNA from Arabidopsis thaliana (thale cress), 964 nucleotides. RefSeq annotates it as other RNA. Lineage: Eukaryota; Viridiplantae; Streptophyta; Magnoliopsida; Brassicales; Brassicaceae. The transcript is spliced from 2 exons. The record is from RefSeq.